Molecule: ribosomal RNA, 271 nt
Filed under: uncultured soil bacterium
Lineage: Bacteria
Description: partial 16S ribosomal RNA
Rfam family: Bacterial small subunit ribosomal RNA
Source: RNAcentral
AGAAUCAACGCUGGCGGCGUGCCUAACACAUGCAAGUCGAACGCGGUUAUCCCGCAAGGGGUGACUGAGUGGCAAACGGGUGAGUAACGCGUGGGUGACCUACCUUCGAGUGGGGGAUAACGUUUCGAAAGGAACGCUAAUACCGCAUGACAUCCUGCCUUUGGACAGGCGGAGAUCAAAGCCGGGGAUCGUAAGACCUGGCGCUUGGAGAGGGGCCCGCGUCCGAUUAGCUAGUUGGCGAGGUAACGGCUCACCAAGGCGACGAUCGGUA